CAGCAGCCACGGUAACACGGAGGGUGCAAGCGUUAUCCGGAUUUAUUGGGUUUAAAGGGUCCGUAGGCGGAUCUGUAAGUCAGUGGUGAAAUCUCACAGCUUAACUGUGAAACUGCCAUUGAUACUGCAGGUCUUGAGUAAAUUUGAAGUGGCUGGAAUAAGUAGUGUAGCGGUGAAAUGCAUAGAUAUUACUUAGAACACCAAUUGCGAAGGCAGGUCACUAAGAUUUAACUGACGCUGAUGGACGAAAGCGUGGGGAGCGAACAGGAUUAGAUACCCCAGUAGUCCCUGUCUCUUAUAC
RNAcentral lists this ribosomal RNA (301 nucleotides) under uncultured bacterium. Its description in RNAcentral is "partial 16S ribosomal RNA". It matches the Rfam family "Bacterial small subunit ribosomal RNA", at positions 509 to 807 of the family's 1533-position model. The record is from RNAcentral.